This 325-nucleotide ribosomal RNA is filed under the name uncultured eukaryote. RNAcentral describes it as "partial 18S ribosomal RNA". It matches the Rfam family "Eukaryotic small subunit ribosomal RNA", at positions 1470 to 1796 of the family's 1831-position model. The record is from RNAcentral.
CCCUUAGAUGUUCUGGGCCGCACGCGCGCUACACUGAUGCAUUCAACAAGUUUUACCUUGGCCGAGAGGCCUGGGAAAUCUUUCAAAUAUGUAUCGUGAUAGGGAUAGAUUAUUGCAAUUAUUAAUCUUGAACGAGAAAUUCCUAGUAAAUGCAGAUCAUCAUUCUGCGUUGAUUACGUCCCUGCCCUUUGUACACACCGCCCGUCGCACCUACCGAUUGAAUGAUCCGGUGAAGCCUCGGGAUUGUGCCCAGAGAACUUUAUUGUGAUUUGGGUGUGAGAACUUGUCUAAACCUUAUCAUUUAGAGGAAGGUGAAGUCGUAACA